This 811-nucleotide ribosomal RNA is filed under the name uncultured euryarchaeote. RNAcentral's name for it is "bacterial SSU rRNA". It matches the Rfam family "Archaeal small subunit ribosomal RNA", at positions 48 to 859 of the family's 1478-position model. Lineage: Archaea; Methanobacteriati; Methanobacteriota. The record is from RNAcentral.
GCCAUGCUAGUUGCACGAGUUUAGACUCGUGGCGGAAAGCUCAGUAACACGUGGUCAAACUACCCUAUAGACCAGGAUAACCUCGGGAAACUGAGGCUAAUCCUAGAUAACGCUCCCCUGCUGGAAUUGCAGGGAGCCGGAAACGCUCCGGCGCUAUAGGAUGUGACUGCGGCCGAUUAGGUAGACGGUGGGGUAACGGCCCACCGUGCCGAUAAUCGGUACGGGUUGUGAGAGCAAGAGCCCGGAGAUGGAUUCUGAGACAAGAAUCCAGGCCCUACGGGGCGCAGCAGGCGCGAAAACUUUACACUGCACGACAGUGCGAUAAGGGAACUCCAAGUGCGAGGGCAUAACGUCCUCGCUUUUGUGUAUCGUAAGGUGGUACACGAAUAAGGGCUGGGCAAGACCGGUGCCAGCCGCCGCGGUAAUACCGGCAGCCCGAGUGAUGGCCAAUUUUAUUGGGCCUAAAGCGUCCGUAGCCGGCCAGACAGGUCCGUCGGGAAAUCUGCUCGCUCAACGAGCAGGCGUCCGACGGAAACCCGCUGGCUUGGGACCAGAAGACUCGAGGGGUACGUCUGGGGUAGGAGUGAAAUCCUGUAAUCCUAGACGGACCGCCGAUGGCGAAAGCACCUCGAGAGGAUGGAUCCGACGGUGAGGGACGAAAGCUAGGGUCACGAACCGGAUUAGAUACCCGGGUAGUCCUAGCUGUAAACGAUGCUCGCUAGGUGUGGCACAGGCUACGAGCCUGUGCUGUGCCGUAGGGAAGCCGAGAAGCGAGCCGCCUGGGAAGUACGUCCGCAAGGAUGAAACUUAA